Molecule: long non-coding RNA, 1279 nt
Organism: Papaver somniferum (opium poppy)
Lineage: Eukaryota; Viridiplantae; Streptophyta; Magnoliopsida; Ranunculales; Papaveraceae
Exons: 3
Source: RefSeq, a predicted model, not a curated record
ACCUAUGUCUGACGUUGACCAUCAAAGUCCACGUUUUCCUAGUCUUUAUUUUAUUUUUCGUAAUUAUUUUUAAAAUAUUAUUUAAUCGGACGAAUAUACCCUCGAAGAGAAGGAAUAAUCUUCUUCACUGUCACUUCCCUUCUCACAACAGCUGCCAUGUAAAAACCAGCAGAAGAGGAAAAAGUGGUCAAUCAAAAAAGCGUCCUUCCGGUAAACAAUCCAUUUCUUGUCGAAUCAAAAUCAUAGGUAGAAGAAUGGUCAGUAGAAACUACUGUUGGAUUAGUUGAAGCAUUGAAGUUAAUUGAUAGAGAUGGUGAAGAAAAAAUAACUAGAUCUGAGAUUGAAUCUGUUUUACAAAGAAUUGGCGAUGAAAUACCGAGUAAGAUGAAUUUGUGAUUAUGUUUAGUGAGAUUUUAUGAAUUGUUGAUGGUUUUAUUACUCUCGAGAAGUUGCAGAUUCUUUCCCUGCUGCCACCAUUGUUAAUUUAUCAAUUUUUUGAGAAGUUGCAGAAAUUUCGUUAAGUUUCGCUGCUGGAAAAAUCUUUUAAUGGUGGUUUCUCUCCAUAAAAAUCAACAGUAAUAGAAGAAGAAGAAUCACAAACCCAUCUCUUCUCAUAUCAGACAAAACCCAGUCUGUGAUUCAAUCUCAUAAUCCCAUAGAAGACAUUCUUAUAUCAAUUCCACCAAUUGUAGAAAUCAAACCAAUUACAACUGUGUAACUCCACAAAGAACAGAAUAUGAAGACAACGAAAGGAGGAAAACAUGAACCCGACAGAUGCAUAUCGAUAGGAACUACGAAAUAAAAAACUAAAAAGGGUAUUGAGAAAAAUCUUCCACUGAUUUUAGGGUUUCUGUUGUUUUUUCUUAAUACUGGGGGAUGCGGUAUUUUUUAUUUCCAUUAAUAGGUUAAGAUUUAGAUGAUAGGUUGAUUCAAUGAAAGCUGGUUUGCCCAGAAUGAUGGAGGCUGGAAAUCAGGUUUACUAAGUCAAGUUUUGGAUUAAGUUAGAAUUUGGUAGUUGAAUAUCAGACAUCACCCUCAAAGACUGAGAUCUUCAAAGAGGUUUGAAGAACUUCUUUUAUCAGCUAAGAAAAUGCAAAGACGAGUUCAAGGCAAAGAAAAUCAAGCAAAGCAAAAUUUGAAAGCAAAUAAGAGUACUAGUCAGAAAAACAAAGGACACUCCGUUAUGAGUGCAUUGAUUAGAAGUUAUGUGAAAUGAUUAAUUAUUUUAAAAUUAUUGUUGUGUAGUUUUAUAUCUUGUAAAAUGCAUAUUAAUGAUCAA